Schizosaccharomyces pombe (fission yeast) is the source of this 1994-nucleotide non-coding RNA. The record is from the annotation of a GenBank genome assembly. Lineage: Eukaryota; Fungi; Ascomycota; Schizosaccharomycetes; Schizosaccharomycetales; Schizosaccharomycetaceae.
AGUGGAAAGACACGAGAUUAAGUGAAUGGUUAAAAGGGAAAGCGGGAGAAUGCCCAAAGUAGUAAUGCAGGAAUGGAACUAUUCCUUUUCUUUCUUCUGGGGCAAUUCUUCAGAACCUGUGUAAAGUUCGACACCUUCCAAAGUAGAGUUGUCGCCCUCGCUGGCUAAGUUUAUACGAGGGCCCUUGAACCAUUUUCUGCCGGAUAUGGCAUACCAGAUUAAAACGGCAAGCAUAGGAGCGCCGAAAACCAGGCAUGUCCAGUUCAUUUCGGCAGGAGUAGGGUUCUUGACAGAAGGGAAGCAAAGAAUGGGAAUCAUAAGAGCAACAAAGGAAACCGAGCAAAAUCCGAUAGGUUUAGAAAAUUUACCAAGGUUGAAAGGACCGGUGCGAAAAUCAGCAUCUUUAACGAAAAAGACACGCAUUGCAACAGGAGCGACGAAAGCAGUAAAGGCAGCGAUGGCGGUAACAGAGAAGACGGCACCAAUGGUGAUUGCACCGGCAAAGGCGAGAAACAGAAUUAGCACUCCAAUUACAAAGUUUACGAAGACAGCGCGAAUUGGAGUCUUGGUGAUAGGAUUGACGGUAGCAACCCAUUCAGAGUAAGGCAAAACACCAUCACGUGCGUAGGAAUAAGCGAUACGAGAAGAAGCAAUCAAAUUACUUUGACCCAUAAGGAAGGAAGAGACGAUAGUAAGAGAGAGGAUACCAAGAGCAGCACGUUUAGGAAGGCAUUGUGAUAAGUAAGUAGCCCACAUAGAAUCAGAUCCAGUGACUACGGCUGUUUGAUCAACAACAGUAUAUGCGAUAACAAUCUGCAUAACCCAACCCAUGAUACCGCCAAUGGCGGCAGUAAGGAUGAUACCUCUUGGGGCAUUAACACUAGCGUUGGCGGUUUCCUCACUCAUGUGGAAAGGAGCGUCAUAACCAGACAUGGUCCAAAUAACACCACAGAAGGACAUAAGAAUGGCAAACCCAUCAGGCCAGUCGGUGUAGUUUUCGAUAUGACUCCAAACCUUACUGGUUUCAUUGAAGCCGUGAUUCUUGCUAGACAUGGCCAAAAUGACAAUCAUAGAGAUGAAGAGAAAUAGAGUGUUAAGAUAGGUACCUACACUAUUCAAUUUGGCGAUGUAUUUGGUAGGCAUGGAUGCAAGGAUAAAAUGGAUAAACUGGAUUGCAAUACUUACUAAGAAGAGCUGAUAAUUCUGAACUUCGUAAUUUGGAUUGCCGAUGUUGACGGCGCCGAGAAGCAUUGCUGCAGUACUAUAGUUGAUGGAAGGACCACCUACCAAUUGAGCGAUAUAGUUGGACCAACCGGUAAACCAUGCUGCCAAGGGACCCCAUCCCUCGGGGGCCAAAACGGCAGCGGCAUAGUACAAACCACCAGAGGUUGGCAUUGCUGAGCAAAGUUCGGCCAUACUAAGAGCGAUACAAAUAAUGAAUACCAUGGCAAUAAGCCAACCCCAAAGCAAACCAGGGGUACCAGUAUAACCAAUACUGUAAGGUAAGGUAGUAGCAACAGAAGGAAGCAAACCGAGCAAGGAGAAAGAAACUGAAAAGACACUAAACAGGGAUAAACCACGUUGAAAUUCCUGUUUGUAACCCAAAGCAGCCAAAUCUUCGGCAUUAUCUGCUUCUGAAGUAAUAUUGGGUUCUUCUGGAUUUGUAGGAUUGCUAGUGGAAUGGAUGCUGAAUUCUGCAGAGUUCUUCUUUCCACUAGAAGAAGUGAGUGCGUCUAAAAUGGGUAUGGCCAUAAUGAUGAGAUAGAUGCGACAAUACACACAAGGGUUGAAAAAGAGGAAAUGAGAUAAAAAGCAGGUGAGAUUGAAUGAAAAGUUAUCGAGUGAAUAGAAGCAACCUUAGCAAAGGGAGAGAAAAGAGAAGCAGACAAAGGUGUUUAAUUUAGAGAAACAAAUAACUUUUAAACAAGAGAAAGUGUAGGAUAACAAUGUGACGACGAAUGAAGAAGGGGGAAAAGGCGAUCAAAAAAAGGGAA